UGCACCGACCGGCCCUGAUUCGAGAGAAUCCAGUCCAACCAAAGCAACACAACACAACACAACGCUUCCUCCUCCUCUCCCCUCGAAUCGAUCCCCUCCAAACCCGCCGCCGCCGCCAUGGACCUCCUAUACCCAUCCCCACCGGCGUUCUCGUCUCCUCUAGCCUCACCGUCGACCUCCCGCCCCGCCCUGCAUCCCAUCACCGGCGGCCCCACCCUCUCCCCUCUCCGUCUCUUCCUAGGAGGGAGCGAGGCCUCAGAUCCACAGGCCGCGGCAACCACCGCCACCGCGUCCUACUCCUUCCACCCCACCUAGCCGCCCUCCGCCUCCACAGCUCUCCGUCCCUCCCUCCCUCCUCGCGCCCGCAGCCAUGUCGACCGAGCUCAGGACCCCUCUCCUUCAAGACCAAAACGAAGGCAGCAGGCCAGGGCGACUUCAGCGCCUCCCUUCUCCUGGACGGCAGUUCAGUCGUGUUGGUCGUGUGCCCCCACAACCAGAGAGGAGGGGAGAGGAGGCGGAGAUGCUGCUGCUGCACGGGCUGACGGGGAAGAACAAGCAGGCGUGGAAGGAGGGCAAGAUCCGCGGCAUGGCGGUGCUGGUCAAGAGCGGCGUGCUCGACCUCGGCGACUUCAACUCAUCCGUCCUCGACGGCGUCCACAAGAUCCUCGACGGCCAAGGACGAUGGCGUCUCCUUCCAUCUCGUCAGCGCCACCGCACCCAACCCCCGGAGAUGCAAUCAACGAUGGCAGGGGAGUCAGUUUUUCCGGGUCAAGUUUGAGUGGUCGAACGACUCACAGGGCAUCACCAGCACCAUUCCGAGUUCUUCCUCAAGACGCCCACCCUCGACGGCGUUCUCGCAACAAGAGUUCUCGCGGAUUGAAGGUUGUCAACAAAGAAAGGAAGAAAGAAAGAAAGAUCCAUUUCUCCAUGGAAGGAGGAAGGGACAUCUUGAUCGCAAGUGACUGACUGGAAGCAACCGAGGGAGCCGGCAACCUCUCCGACAUGCUGCUCAUGACCACCUCCCCAACCAGAUGCUGUUGGUAAGCUCUCUCUUCUCCCCCUCCAUCUAUUUGCUAAGCACACAUGUAUGCAAGAUGGAAAUCCAUCUAUUUAACUUGAUUUUGCUGAAAAAUGUUUCUUUUUAUCCUGUUGGAUGUGUAGGCAGUAGAGGAAGUAUGGAUGUUAAUUUUGUUUCACUCAAUAAAAUCCUUGUGUGUGCUAAUUAUGCAUUGGCAGUAGGCAGUAGACUUAGCCAUUUGUUGAGAUGAGGACCCUACGGCACAGUGAGCCGCACUGGACGGUGGCGCAAUGCAUGAGGGAACUAUGCAUCCUGAAUGGCAUACACUCUUGGCUUCAUGAAAUGACCCAUGUCUAUGAUUCAAGGUAUCUUAGAUCUUCGAUGUCGGAUGCAAAUAAUUGCUCAAUUUCACUUCUCUGCAAUGUUCAUUCUCACAUAUUUCUAUCAUUCUUUGCAGGGAUAAAGUAAAGAAAAAGAAGAAAAGAUUACUAGAAGAUUAGUUUUAGAAUUUUCUUUUAUUUCCUUGUAAAUUUUCUUUUAUUGGAUACUUGUAAAGACAUUGUAAUAUUCUUACUAUAAUAAAAAUUAUGAUUCUAUUUCA
Aegilops tauschii subsp. strangulata is the source of this 1619-nucleotide non-coding RNA. Lineage: Eukaryota; Viridiplantae; Streptophyta; Magnoliopsida; Poales; Poaceae. The record is from RefSeq and is a predicted model, not a curated record.